This 87-nucleotide transfer RNA is filed under the name Thermomicrobium roseum. RNAcentral describes it as "tRNA-Leu". It matches the Rfam family "tRNA". Rfam says of the family: Transfer RNA (tRNA) molecules are approximately 80 nucleotides in length. Their secondary structure includes four short double-helical elements and three loops (D, anti-codon, and T loops). The record is from RNAcentral. RNAcentral also lists the same sequence under 9 other names. Lineage: Bacteria; Pseudomonadati; Thermomicrobiota; Thermomicrobia; Thermomicrobiales; Thermomicrobiaceae.
GCCGAGGUGGCGGAAUAGGCAGACGCGCUACCUUGAGGGGGUAGUGCCCGAAAGGGCGUGGGGGUUCAAAUCCCUUCCUCGGCACCA